UACGGAGGAUGCAAGCGUUAUCCGGAUUUAUUAGGUUUAAAGGGUGCGUAGGCGGGAAUUUAAGUCAGUGGUGAAAUCAUAUAGCUUAACUAUAUUUAGCCGUUGAUACUGGGUUUCUUGAGUUCGGUUGAGGUAGGCGGAAUGUGUUGUGUAGCGGUGAAAUGCAUAGAUAUAACACAGAACACCGAUUGCGAAGGCAGCUUACUAAGCCGUUACUGACGCUGAUGCACGAAAGCGUGGGGAUCAAACAGG
Molecule: ribosomal RNA, 252 nt
Filed under: uncultured bacterium
Lineage: Bacteria
Description: partial 16S ribosomal RNA
Rfam family: Bacterial small subunit ribosomal RNA
Source: RNAcentral